This 1356-nucleotide ribosomal RNA is filed under the name Triticum aestivum (bread wheat). RNAcentral describes it as "partial small subunit ribosomal RNA". The record is from RNAcentral. Lineage: Eukaryota; Viridiplantae; Streptophyta; Magnoliopsida; Poales; Poaceae.
GAGGUGAAGGAGGCUUUAAAAAGGAUGAAAGGAGGCAAGGCGAUGGGCCCUGAUUGUAUCCCCAUUGAGGUGUGGAAAGGUCUCGGGGACAUAGCGAUAGUAUGGCUAACCAAGCUUUUCAACCUCAUUUUUCGGGCAAACAAGAUGCCAGAAGAAUGGAGACGGAGUAUAUUAGUACCAAUCUUCAAGAACAAGGGGGAUGUUCAGAGUUGUACUAAUUACCGUGGAAUUAAGCUGAUGAGCCAUACAAAGAAGCUAUGGGAGAGAGUCAUUGAGCACCGCUUAAGAAGAAUGACAAGCGUGACCAAAAAUCAGUUUGGUUUCAUGCCUGGGUGGUCGACCAUGGAAGCCAUUUUCUUGGUACGACAACUUAUGGAGAGAUAUAGGGAGCAUAAGAAGGACUUGCAUAUGGUGUUCAUUGACUUGGAGAAGGCCUAUGAUAAGAUACCGUGGAAUGUCAUGUGGUGGGCCUUGGAGAAACACAAAGUCCCAGCAAAGUACAUUACCCUCAUCAAGGACAUGUACAAUAAUGUUGUGACAAGUGUUCGAACAAGUGAUGUCGACACCGAUGACUUCCCGGUUAAGAUAGGACUGCAUCAGGGGUUAGCUUUGAGCCCUUAUCUUUUUGCAUUGGUGAUGGAUGAGGUCACAAGGGGUAUACAAGGAGAUAUCCCAUGGUGUAUGCUCUUUGCGGAUGAUGUGGUGCUAGUUGACGAUAGUCGGAUGGGGGUAAAUAGGAAGUUAGAGUUAUGGAGACAAACCUUGGAAUCGAAAGGGUUUAGGCUUAGUAGAACUAAAACCGAGUACAUGAUGUGCGGUUUCAGUACUACUAGCUGUGAGGAGGAGGAGGUUAGCCUUGAUGGCCAGGUGGUACCUCGGAAGGACACCUUUCGGUAUUUGGGGUCAAUGUUGCAGGAGGAUGGGGGUAUUGAUGAAGAUGUGAACCAUCGAAUCAAAGCCGGAUGGAUGAAGUGGCGCCAAGCUUCUGGCAUUCUCUGUGACAAGAGAGUGCCACAAAAGUUAAAAGGCAAGUUCUACAGGAUGGCAGUUCGACCCGCAAUGUUGUAUGGCGCGGAGUGUUGGCCGACUAAAAGGCGACAUGUUCAACAGUUAGGUGUGGCGGAGAUGCAUAUGUUGAGAUGGAUGUGUGGCCACACGAGGAAGGAUCGAGUUCGGAAUGAUGAUAUACGAGAUAGAGUUGGGGUAGCACCAAUUGAGGAGAAGCUUGUCCAACAUCGUUUGAGAUGGUUUGGGCAUAUUCAGCACAGGCCUCCAGAAGCUCCAGUGCAUAGCGGACGGCUAAUGCGUGCGGAGAAUGUCAAGAGAGGGCAGGGUCGACCGAUUUUGACAUGGGAG